CCUACGGGAGGCAGCAGUGAGGAAUAUUGGUCAAUGGACGAGAGUCUGAACCAGCCAAGUAGCGUGAAGGAUGACUGCCCUAUGUGUUGUAAACUUCUUUUAUAAAGGAAUAAAACGAGGCACGUGUGCCUUUUUGCAUGUACUUUAUGAAUAAGGAUCGGCUAACUCCGUGCCAGCAGCCGCGGUAAUACGGAGGAUCCGAGCGUUAUCCGGAUUUAUUGGGUUUAAAGGGAGCGUAGAUGGGUUGUUAAGUCAGUUGUGAAAGUUUGCGGCUCAACCGUAAAAUUGCAAUUGAUACUGUCAGUCUUGAGUACAGGUGAGGUAAGCGGAAUUCGUGGUGUAGCGGUGAAAUGCUUAGAUAUCACGAAGAACCCCGAUUGCGAAGGCAGCUUACUAAGCUGUGACUGACAUUGAGGCUCGAAAGUGUGGGUAGCAAACAGGAGUAGAUACCCGAGUAGUC
This 460-nucleotide ribosomal RNA is filed under the name uncultured bacterium. RNAcentral describes it as "partial 16S ribosomal RNA". It matches the Rfam family "Bacterial small subunit ribosomal RNA", at positions 338 to 795 of the family's 1533-position model. The record is from RNAcentral.